CAUUCUAUACUUGCUCUAUACAUUUGUCAUUGCAGUAUUGAAUCAGCUGAGGCGAUUAUAUAUCUUAAAAACGACCAAAUUUGGUGCCAUCCAAAGAACUAUAUAGAUUAAUCUGUUGGCAUAUUUAUGAAAUGCUUCUAUAAAGAGUAAUCUGUUGACAUAUUUGGAAACUGGGCAGUUUAUGAACAUUGGCUGUGGUAGAAGUUUCUGACUCUGUAGUCGAAGUCUAACAACAAUGUUUUGGCUAUAUAUUGGAGCACUGCAAAACCCCACAAUACAUUGCCAUCCAUAUUUGUUAUUCAUUUCUUGAUUUGCAGGAUAGUCUAUAUAACAAAGUGAGAUGAUGACAAACAACUAAAAUACAUCGGGUUUAAGUCUAGGGUCAACAGAAUGCUGCUUUCUUGCAUGCAAAUAAUGUGUGAAUAAAAGAAUAUGGAUAUGAUGAUAUGAUAAGAUUGCCUUGUGCUGGACCAAUAAGGAAGUGAAUUUUGUUAGAAAGCGAGUUUGAAUAAGUGAUGGUUGUGGACAAAUUCUUCUGGUGAAAUGGAAAGUUAACUAAGUAUCCAUAAUACAUAUUAUUCUCUGCUCUCUUCCUAUUUUAUUGUUGACUACUACUAUUAAGCUGAAAAUAUAUGAGUUUCCCAUAACCUAAGGCAGCUACCGAAACCAACAAGAGAAGAUGAAAUUUCAUCUUAGGUAUGUGAAAAGGGUAAAUUUGCAGCUAAAAACUGUAACAGGCGCAUUUUAGUAAAUCUUUCCACAGUCCCUUUUUCAUCCCUGUUACAAGGAACAAACAUUUACGUCAUUGCUGAGUGCCAUGGCUGUUUAAAAAAAGUUUCUUAUUUUCUCUGCAUUCUGGGUCAUGAUAUUGUUUGCAAUUUCCUAGAAUAGGUUAAUUCUGCUCUUAAAGGAUGUUGCAUUUGCAUUUAAUAUUUUCUCGACUGCUUUAUUUAUUACAAAACCCAGCACUGGAACCUCUUUUUAGAUUCAUUGCAACCAACCCCUUUUUGUACCAAAUUUUGAUAAUUCAUUCAAAUUAAGCUUUUGAAAGCAUACUUUCAAAACAUUGACGUCCUCGCAGAAUGCACUCUUUCUUCCUCUUUGAUUUAUUUAAUGCAUGGUGACCAAAAGGCCUAAAGUCCCUUUGUGAAGGUGUUCCUAUCUUCUUCAACCAUUGCUUAUACUAUUUGGUGCCCAAUCAAGCUCAAUAAGUGGAAUUCUCCUGGUGUCCCAAAUGAGCAUUUUCAUCUGCUGGUGAGUCAGCCUCCCAAAUAGCUCAAAAACAAAAAGGGAGGGGCUUCAAAGAAAUGUGAAAUAACUUUUACUGCGCCUACCGGGGAAGAGAUCACUAGCAGAAACCAGU
RNA transcript from Ipomoea nil (Japanese morning glory), 1363 nucleotides. It is a transcript of the gene named methyl-CpG-binding domain-containing protein 11-like, with no coding region annotated. Lineage: Eukaryota; Viridiplantae; Streptophyta; Magnoliopsida; Solanales; Convolvulaceae. The transcript has 3 exons. The record is from RefSeq and is a predicted model, not a curated record.